RNAcentral lists this long non-coding RNA (487 nucleotides) under Sparus aurata (gilthead seabream). RNAcentral's name for it is "lncRNA (ENSSAUG00010023860.1)". The record is from RNAcentral. Lineage: Eukaryota; Metazoa; Chordata; Actinopteri; Spariformes; Sparidae.
ACUUGCACUUUUGAUACUCAAGCACGCUUGUUAUCGACUGGUGUCGAAUAGUCCGACUUCAAAAGGAGGACGUGAACGCGGCACGAGAGGCGAGUCUCCGCUGAGGUGAGCGGAGAGGAGCCGAGAGGAUCCUGAGCUGAUGAGGUGAGACUGCACAGCCUCGAACAUGUGGACGGAGGUGAAGAACAGGAGCAGGACGGUCAGCAGCAGCAGCUCGAACAGCUCGAAGAUGGUUGAGCCACAUCUCCUUACAGGGCAGCUUUUACACACAGUUCAACAGAGGAAUGGUUCAACUGCAGAUGCCACUUCUCGCUCAGAGGACUCCGUGGCCAAGACCAGUGGGAUCAUCCCUGCUGCAGUUGCUGCCACGCUGUUCAUCGCCUUCAUACUUGCUCUCUACACUGUCCUCUGGAGGUGCAUGGUGUCGCCACCACAGCGAAAGCACAGCAGGGUGAGAAUGAGAGGACAACCGAGGGUUUCUGUGUGA